Eptesicus fuscus (big brown bat) is the source of this 560-nucleotide long non-coding RNA. RefSeq lists it as uncharacterized. The transcript has 5 exons. The record is from RefSeq and is a predicted model, not a curated record. NCBI's taxonomy places the organism in Eukaryota, Metazoa, Chordata, Mammalia, Chiroptera, Vespertilionidae.
CAAAGACCAGCCCAGCUCUUGCCUGGCAGGACACCUCUGGGGACAGUAUCCAUUGUUUCAUUUGACCCCACAACAACCUUGGGGCUUUGCCAAGCACACGGAUUGUCAUCAUUAUUAUGCUGCCAUCCAGAAGAGAAAAGGAAGGCUCUCAGGUCACACAACCUGGGACGCCCCCUGCACUGCUGAGUCUGAUUAGGACCCCGGGGAGAGGCAUAACCUGAGCUUCGAGGGGCAAAUCCCCACCCAAUCCCUGGGAUGAGGUCUGCUUCUCACCAGCCUCUCUGGGCCUUGAGGAAACUGAGGCUUGAAGGACUCCAAUACGCGCCGAAAGGAUUAACAUGGAUGAGUGAAGUAGGGAGAGUAGGGUAUCAAGAGAGACGUCCUGGAAGAGGCAGCACCUGGAGAGGCCCCUCAGAGGCACCUGGGCCGUUUAUGGAGCCUGCAAUUCUGUUGUCACCGGGAGAAAAACCAGCCUCGCUCUACAGACCCCUCCACCAACCGGUGGAGAAACAAGUGUUGGAGAUAAGACGAUUUAAAACAAAUAAACUUCCCUACGGACU